Molecule: long non-coding RNA, 230 nt
Filed under: Vitis vinifera (wine grape)
Lineage: Eukaryota; Viridiplantae; Streptophyta; Magnoliopsida; Vitales; Vitaceae
Description: long non-coding RNA (VVIN_LNC003880)
Source: RNAcentral
ACUAUUCUUCUUCACUUCCUAUUGAUCCCUAAGAUUGUUUUCUUGUUGGGUGUGGAUUUUGGAGGUCACAUAUUGGUUUUUUGUUUAUUUUAUUUGCCAUCUAUGAUUGUUUAACUUCUCUUCUUCUCUUGAUUCACCAUGAUUGCUUGAGAAUUGAUUUAAUCUUAGAUUCAUGUUAUUGAACAGUAUAUUUUGAGAGUUUAUUUGAAUUGAUUUUGGUUCUUUUGGGC